AAGGAUCAUUACCGAGUGCGGGCCCUCGCGGCCCAACCUCCCACCCUUGUCUCUAUACACCUGUUGCUUUGGCGGGCCCACCGGGGCCACCUGGUCGCCGGGGGACGCACGUCCCCGGGCCCGCGCCCGCCGAAGCGCUCUGUGAACCCUGAUGAAGAUGGGCUGUCUGAGUACUAUGAAAAUUGUCAAAACUUUCAACAAUGGAUCUCUUGGUUCCGGCAUCGAUGAAGAACGCAGCGAAAUGCGAUAAGUAAUGUGAAUUGCAGAAUUCCGUGAAUCAUCGAAUCUUUGAACGCACAUUGCGCCCCCUGGCAUUCCGGGGGGCAUGCCUGUCCGAGCGUCAUUUCUGCCCUCAAGCACGGCUUGUGUGUUGGGUGUGGUCCCCCCGGGGACCUGCCCGAAAGGCAGCGGCGACGUCCGUCUGGUCCUCGAGCGUAUGGGGCUCUGUCACUCGCUCGGGAAGGACCUGCGGGGGUUGGUCACCACCAUAUUUUACCACGGUUGACCUCGGAUCAGGUAGGAGUUACCCGCUGAACUUAAGCAUAUCAAUAA
This is a ribosomal RNA of 552 nucleotides. The stretch from base 190 to 343 matches the Rfam family "5.8S ribosomal RNA".